Molecule: small nuclear RNA, 194 nt
Organism: Hibiscus syriacus
Lineage: Eukaryota; Viridiplantae; Streptophyta; Magnoliopsida; Malvales; Malvaceae
Product: U2 spliceosomal RNA
Exons: 1
Source: RefSeq, a predicted model, not a curated record
AACCUUUCUCGGCCUUUUGGCUAAGAUCUAGUGUAGUAUCUGUUCUUAUCAGUUUAAUUUCUGAUACGUGGACCAAUGGCCCACACGAUAUUAAAUUUAUUUUUUGAGGGGAAGAUCCCAUAACAGUGGCUUGCUACUGGGGCUACUGUGCGUCGCCAAGCGUUGAACUAUUGCUCGGGCCUGGUGCACCCAAC